This 113-nucleotide small RNA is filed under the name Marmota monax (woodchuck). The record is from RNAcentral. Lineage: Eukaryota; Metazoa; Chordata; Mammalia; Rodentia; Sciuridae.
GCCAAGAGUGGUGGUGCACUCUUGUAAUCCCAGCUAUUUGGGAGGCUGAGGCAGGAGGGUUACAAGUUUGAGGCCAGCGUUGGUGUCACACCAAUAGUGAGACCCCGUCUCCA